UGGGGAAUAUUGCACAAUGGGCGCAAGCCUGAUGCAGCCAUGCCGCGUGUGUGAAGAAGGCCUUCGGGUUGUAAAGCACUUUCAGUCGUGAGGAAGGUAGUGUAGUUAAUAGCUGCAUUAUUUGACGUUAGCGACAGAAGAAGCACCGGCUAACUCCGUGCCAGCAGCCGCGGUAAUACGGAGGGUGCGAGCGUUAAUCGGAAUUACUGGGCGUAAAGCGCAUGCAGGUGGUUUGUUAAGUCAGAUGUGAAAGCCCGGGGCUCAACCUCGGAAUAGCAUUUGAAACUGGCAGACUAGAGUACUGUAGAGGGGGGUAGAAGUUUCAGGUGUAGCGGUGAAAUGCGUAGAGAUCUGAAGGAAUACCGGUGGCGAAGGCGGCCCCCCUGGACAGAUACUGACACUCAGAUGCGAAAAGCGUGGGGAGCAAAACAGGAUUAGAUACCCUGGUAGUCCACGCCGUAAACGAUGUCUACUUGGAGGUUGUGGCCUUGAGCCGUGGCUUUCGGAGCUAACGCGUUAAGUAGACCGCCUGGGAGUACGGUCGC
This 545-nucleotide ribosomal RNA is filed under the name uncultured bacterium. Its description in RNAcentral is "bacterial SSU rRNA". It matches the Rfam family "Bacterial small subunit ribosomal RNA", at positions 355 to 889 of the family's 1533-position model. The record is from RNAcentral.